AUACGGAGGAUCCGAGCGUUAUCCGGAUUUAUUGGGUUUAAAGGGUGCGCAGGCGGCCAUUUAAGUCAGCGGUUAAAUCGUGGGGCUCAACCCCAUUCUGCCGUUGAUACUGGGUGGCUUGAUUGCGGUCGAGGUUAGCGGAAUUCGUUGUGUAGCGGUGAAAUGCAUAGAUAUGACGAAGAACACCGAUUGCGUAGGCAGCUGACCAGACCGCAAAUGACGCUCAUGCACGAAAGUGCGGGGAUCGAACAGGAUUAGAUACCCUGGUAGUCCGCACAGUAAACGAUGAAUACUUGUUUUCGGCGAUAUAAUGUCGGAGGCAAAGCGAAAGCGAUAAGUAUUCCACCUGGGGAGUACGCCGGCAACGGUGAAACUCAAAGGAAUUGACGGGG
RNAcentral lists this ribosomal RNA (392 nucleotides) under uncultured bacterium. RNAcentral's name for it is "partial 16S ribosomal RNA". It matches the Rfam family "Bacterial small subunit ribosomal RNA", at positions 523 to 918 of the family's 1533-position model. The record is from RNAcentral.